This 522-nucleotide ribosomal RNA is filed under the name uncultured Glomeromycotina. RNAcentral describes it as "SSU rRNA". It matches the Rfam family "Eukaryotic small subunit ribosomal RNA", at positions 570 to 1094 of the family's 1831-position model. Lineage: Eukaryota; Fungi; Glomeromycota. The record is from RNAcentral.
GCAGCCGCGGUAAUUCCAGCUCCAAUAGCGUAUAUUAAAGUUGUUGCAGUUAAAAAGCUCGUAGUUGAAUUUCGGGAUCAAGGGAUCGGUCAUGCCUUGGUAUGUACUGGUUUCAUUGGUUCUCACCUUCUAAAGAACCAUGAUGUCAUUCAUUUGAUGUUAUGGGGAAUUAGGACUGUUACCUUGAAAAAAUUAGAGUGUUUAAAGCAAGCUUACGCUUGAAUACAUUAGCAUGGAAUAAUGAAAUAGGACAUCAGAUUCUAUUUUGUUGGUUUCUAGGAUCGAUGUAAUGAUUAAUAGGGAUAGUUGGGGGCAUUAGUAUUCAAUUGUCAGAGGUGAAAUUCUUGGAUUUAUUGAAGACUAACUACUGCGAAAGCAUUUGCCAAGGAUGUUUUCAUUAAUCAAGAACGAAAGUUAGGGGAUCGAAGACGAUCAGAUACCGUCGUAGUCUUAACCAUAAACUAUGCCGACUAGGGAUCGGAUGAUGUUAAUUUUUUAAUGACUCAUUCGGCACCUUACGGG